GAAUCUUGCGCAAUGGCCGAAAGGCUGACGCAGCGACGCCGCGUGCGGGAGGACGCUUUUCGGAGUGUAAACCGCUGUCGGGUGGGACGAAGGUCCCGGGAAGGAAAUGCCCUGGGGAUGACGGUAGCACCAGAGGAAGCACCGGCACACUUCGUGCCAGCAGCCGCGGUAAUACGAAGGGUGCGAGCGUUGUUCGGAAUUAUUGGGCGUAAAGCGCACGUAGGCGGCUUUGUAAGUCUCACUGUGAAAGCCCGGGGCUCAACCCCGGGAGGCCAGGGGAUACUGCGAGGCUGGAGACAAGCAGAGGUUGGUAGAAUUCCGGGUGUAGCGGUGGAAUGCGUAGAGAUCCGGAGGAAUACCAGAGGCGAAGGCGGCCAACUGGGCUUGAUCUGACGCUGAGGUGCGAAAGCGUGGGGAGCGAACAGG
This 426-nucleotide ribosomal RNA is filed under the name uncultured bacterium. RNAcentral describes it as "bacterial SSU rRNA". It matches the Rfam family "Bacterial small subunit ribosomal RNA", at positions 359 to 776 of the family's 1533-position model. The record is from RNAcentral.